CCUGCAAAACGAAUCUAAGUUCCCCCUUAACCCUCUUUUUCCUCCCCAGACAAACCCAACCCAAAUGUGAUAGUUAAGGGCUAUUUAAAGGGGGUACAGCCCCUUUAAAAAAGGACACAACCUCCACCAGCGGAUAACCCCUGUACGCCCAACCCCGUGGGCCUUAAAGCAGCCACCCCCAAAGAUUGCGUCAAAGCUCCAUCAACCAAAAACCCCCAAAACCAAUGCGACUCCCUACACCCACAGCAGGCCAACCUAUAACAAUAGAUGAAUCAAUGCUAGAACGAGUAACCAGGACACUACGUCCCCCCAAGCGCCAGCCUGUAUACCAUUAACAGUAAAACCUCAAUAAUAACCACCCCCACCAUUGAACCCACCCUGUCAACCCAACUCAGGGGCGCACACUGGAGUGAUCAAAAUCUACAAAAGGAACUCGGCAAACCUAAGACCCGACUGUUUACCAAAAACAUAGCCUUCAGCCAAACAAGUAUUGAAGG
Molecule: ribosomal RNA, 497 nt
Filed under: Ara macao (Scarlet macaw)
Lineage: Eukaryota; Metazoa; Chordata; Aves; Psittaciformes; Psittacidae
Description: partial 16S large subunit ribosomal RNA
Source: RNAcentral